RNAcentral lists this ribosomal RNA (253 nucleotides) under uncultured bacterium. RNAcentral's name for it is "partial 16S ribosomal RNA". It matches the Rfam family "Bacterial small subunit ribosomal RNA", at positions 524 to 776 of the family's 1533-position model. The record is from RNAcentral.
UACGGGGGGGGUAAGCGUUGUUCGGAAUUACUGGGCGUAAAGGGCUCGUAGGCGGCCAACUAAGUCAGACGUGAAAUCCCUCAGCUUAACUGGGGAACUGCGUCUGAUACUGGAUGGCUUGGAUUCGGGAGAGGAAUGCGGAAUUCCAGGUGUAGCGGUGAAAUGCGUAGAUAUCUGGAGGAACACCUGCGGCGAAGGCGGGUUGCUGGGCUGAUACUGACGCUGAGGCGCGAAAGCCAGGGGAGCGAACGGG